Fragilaria crotonensis is the source of this 72-nucleotide non-coding RNA. The record is from the annotation of a GenBank genome assembly. NCBI's taxonomy places the organism in Eukaryota, Bacillariophyta, Fragilariophyceae, Fragilariales, Fragilariaceae.
GUCGGUUUGGUCUAGUGGUAUGAUUCCUGCUUUGGGUGCAGGAGGUCCGAGGUUCAAUCCCCCGAACCGACC